GNGCUUUAUGCAGUCGAGCGGAACGAUGAUAGCUUGCUAUCAGGCGUCNAGCGGCGGACGGGUGAGUAACGCGUAGGAAUCUGCCUAGUAGUGGGGGACAACAUGUGGAAACGCAUGCUAAUACCGCAUACGCCCUACGGGGGAAAGGAGGGGAUCUUCGGACCUUUCGCUAUUAGAUGAGCCUGCGUAAGAUUAGCUAGUUGGUGGGGUAAAGGCCUACCAAGGCGACGAUCUUUAGCUGGUCUGANAGGAUGACCAGUCACACUGGGACUGAGACACGGCCCANACUCCUACGGGAGGCANCAGUGGGGAAUAUUGGACAAUGGGCGCAAGCCUGAUCCANCCAUGCCGCGUGUGUGAAGAACGCCUUAUGGUUGUAAA
Molecule: ribosomal RNA, 381 nt
Filed under: Marinomonas sp.
Lineage: Bacteria; Pseudomonadati; Pseudomonadota; Gammaproteobacteria; Oceanospirillales; Oceanospirillaceae
Description: bacterial SSU rRNA
Rfam family: Bacterial small subunit ribosomal RNA
Source: RNAcentral